This 427-nucleotide ribosomal RNA is filed under the name uncultured bacterium. RNAcentral describes it as "bacterial SSU rRNA". It matches the Rfam family "Bacterial small subunit ribosomal RNA", at positions 355 to 774 of the family's 1533-position model. The record is from RNAcentral.
UGGGGAAUUUUGGACAAUGGGCGCAAGCCUGAUCCAGCCAUGCCGCGUGAGUGAAGAAGGCCUUCGGGUUGUAAAGCUCUUUCGGACGGGAAGAAAUGGCGGGCUCUAACAUAGCCUGUCGAUGACGGUACCGUAAGAAGAAGCACCGGCUAACUACGUGCCAGCAGCCGCGGUAAUACGUAGGCAGCAAGCGUUGUUCGGAGUUACUGGGCGUAAAGAGUGCGUAGGCGGUUUUCUAAGUUCGGUGUGAAAUCUCCCGGCUUAACUGGGAGGGUGCGCCGAAGACUGGGAAGCUGGAGUGUGGGAAAGGCCGGCGAAAUUCCUGGUGUAGCGGUGAAAUGCGUAGAUAUCAGGAGCAACACCGGCGGUGUAGACGGCUUGCUAGACCAUAACUGACGCUGAGGCACGAAAGCGUGGGUAGCAAACA